Antechinus flavipes (yellow-footed antechinus) is the source of this 638-nucleotide long non-coding RNA. RefSeq lists it as uncharacterized. NCBI's taxonomy places the organism in Eukaryota, Metazoa, Chordata, Mammalia, Dasyuromorphia, Dasyuridae. The record is from RefSeq and is a predicted model, not a curated record. The transcript is spliced from 3 exons.
GGACCUCUGGAGAGAGAAGAGCAUUCCUGAAACCGACUCCAGUUGGCGGCCGUACACUUGAAAGGAAUCAGGAGUCCAUGGACACCCCUCUGUUUUACCGCUCCCCUCCCUCCGGCCUGAGUGAUUUCCUGCUCUCUAAGAUGAAGAGGAUGCAUGAGAUGACUUCCAAGGUUCCUUCCAGAUCCAUCGUCUGCUUCUAUCAUCAGAGCCUUGGAACCACUGUCAUGAAGAGCUCUCACCUGUUUCUGAAAAGGCAACAAGCUCUGUAAGAGCAGCAUGUGUGUUUGCCUGAUGGGUCCAGGUUUCAGAUCCACAUGCUUUUUGUGUGAGGAGCAAACCCCUUUUUACAAGUUAUCUACAAGUUUAUAAAAUAUAAAAAUGUUAAAAAUUCGUGUAAUCAAAAUAUUCUGACUCCAACUCCACUGUUCUUUCUUCUCUGAUACAUUGAAGUUACCUUUGAUUAUUUGUUGAGGAGGAAAGUCUAACUGAGGUCCAAUCAGCUUCAAAUUCAGCAUGAUCCUCCCCCCCAAAAAAAGCUAUACUAACAGUUCAGCAACCAUAAACAUUUAUUAAGCUAUUGCUUAGCACCACUAUUGUGCAAAGUAUUGGGAAUAUAGAAGUAAAAGAGAGGCCUUUUC